UUUUUUUUUUUUUUUCAGUGUCGUUUUUUUAUGCUGGUCCUUGGAUACAUUUGUCAUGAUAUUGUGAGUUUUCUGUGAUCUCUACCCAGUCUGUGUUUGGAAUUUGGGGUCAGUGUGCGCUUCCCUCGGGGAAAAUACAUUUUUCUGUAACUCUGCCAGGUUGAAGGAGAAACAGGACUCAAAUAGAUUCCCUAUAUGGCUAGGAACACCGGUUUCUUAGAGGCUGGAGUCCAGGCUUGGCACUCAUUGGCUCAGUACAAGUAAGUGACAGAGCCUGGGCCAAUCAGUGAAGGCACUAGUACUACAGCUUCCUGUUUGGCCCUCAGUCCUGCGCUUGUUCAGUAGUGAACGACCUCCUUCCUUGUUCAAAGGGAAUGGAGGGUGUCAGGGCUUGGUCUUCGCCCGCCGUUUCCCUCGGAUCGUCAAGAGUAUCCAUUCAUUCAGUGGUUCCAACCGCGUCCACUGCUGUUGGCGCGCACAGGAGACUUCAGCCUACUGCCUGGUGGCAGGUAACCCGGCGCAUGUGUGCCGGUCAGGCGCGCCCCAGUGGUGACGUCACCGCUCGUGCCUGCGAUUGGCUCCGAAAAGCUGGCGCACCGAAUGACCGCGUUGCUUGGCGCGGAGGCCCUUAAAAAGUGCUUUACUCCGCCGGCCAUCUGUUCCCCGAGCCAUACAUUACUAUGCGCUGCUCACUUUCAAGGUUUCCUGCUUAAAGGGCUUUCCUGAUGAGUUGAGGGUACAGGCUAAUGGGAAGAUGAAAGAUUCCUUUGGUUGGGGAUCCAGGAGCUGUAGUCUCAGAUCUGACUUAAGAGGCUCGAGAGUGUCUGUAAAAUUCUGAUCCAUUCGAGUGAAGUGGCGUUGCAUUUUGAACCGCGCGACUGUCUCCCAAUUUCAGCCUGAGCUCCCUGGGACCCAUAGUCAUCACAUUAAGUCAAAGGAAAGGCGCAGCAAAGACUUCUUGAAUAAACGACCGAGUAAGGUCCAGUGGAAAUUGUCCAAAUGCCUCUGAAACCCGCUGUACGCUGGAUUUGAGCCAAAAGUAGAAGUGGUCAGCUGCAGACAGUUCAGCAGUCAAAAAUCUGGUAGUGCAACUUCAGCCCCCUGGAAGGCAGGAUUUGCCAGCGUUCCUAAGGUGUCCUGUUUGCAAGAGUCUCCUUGGUUUGCAACCUUAAUCUUGCAUCCCUUAAUCCACACCACAGCCAAGUGUCCACCCACAGAGGGCUCAACCUGGACAUGGCCGAGAAACGGCACGGAGCCUGGUUCGGCUUUGGUUUCUGUGGCUUCGGGCAAGCGCUGGGUUCUGGGAACAGCCACCAUUCAGUGUACAGUCCUGAACCACUGCAUGCCAGUGAUGAUAUUUGCCAAGUGAGCGCAGGCUGGAGCUACACUGCCCUGGUGACCCGUGGAGGCCGGGUGGAAUUGUCAGGUUCUGUGAGCGGUGCAGCAGACGGCUGCAGGGACGUGUGGGCUUCGGAGGAACUCCUGGUGCUGCUACGCAACAAGGGCGGCUCCAGCACGGAAGUGCAGGCCUGGGUACCAGGUUCUGCGUUACAGGGGGAGCCCCUCUGGGUCCAGAACUUGGUUUCUGGGGCAAAGGGCCAAGGGGAAGAUGAACCCAGCAGGGAGUCUAGGAUGGGGACCCUGCCGUUGCUACCCUGCGCCCGUGCCUAUGUGACCCCAGAACCACCCUUCUGCCAGCCUCUGGCCCCAGAGCUGCGGGUCCGCCAGCUGGAGCUGGGAGCUGAGCAUGUGCUGCUGUUGUGCGCAGCUGGCCAGGUGUUCUCCUGGGGUGCGGGCAGGCAUGGACAGCUGGGCCACGGGACUCUGGAGGCAGAACUAGAGCCAAGACUGUUGGAGGCACUGCAGGGCCUGCGGAUGGCUAAGGUGGCUGCAGGUGGCUGGCACUCUGUGUGUUUGAGUGAAACGGGGGAUAUUUAUAUCUGGGGCUGGAAUGAGUCAGGGCAGCUGGCCCUGCCCACAAGGAGUGGGACAGAGAACAAAGCAGAGAGAGAGGAAGCCACAGAAUUGAAUGAAGAUGGUCUCAAAGAGGAAUUAGCUGUGGCUGAUGCAGGAGCUCCUGCCCACUUCAUAGCCAUCCAGCCCUUCCCUGCUCUUCUGGAUCUUCCCCUGGGCUCAGAUGCAGUUAUGGCCAGCUGCGGAUCCCGACACACAGCUGUGGUGACACGCACAGGAGAACUCUAUACCUGGGGCUGGGGUAAAUACGGACAGCUUGGCCACAAGGACAGCACCAGCUUGGAUCGACCCUGCUGUGUGGAGUACUUUGUAGAAAGACAACUUGAAGUAAGGGCUGUGACAUGUGGACCCUGGAAUACCUAUGUCUAUGCAAUGGAAAGAGACAAAAGCUGAACUAUCCCUUAGUGGAUCCCCACUUAUGUGCCUGGUUGCUGUAUGGACCAAUGACAGCCCCAUUAAGACAGCAGGACCAGAGACUCAGAUAAAAAUCUCUGCAGCCGGAGAGAUUAAAUCUAGGACAUCACGUAUGCUGGUAACACCUCCUACCACUGAACUAAACCCACAGUGGUGUAGAUAACAAUUUUGCAUCAAUCCACAAGAUGUCUGGAACUCCCUGUCUUGAACUCCUGAGAUCUGUAGAUUACAGGUGAGGGUAAUCAUAUCCAAAUAUACUCUGAAUACAAAUUUCUAUUCAGUGUAAGUUAGGAUUUUACUAGUCUUCAUAAUGCACCAUUAACCCCAGAAGGGCUUAAUGAAUAACGUCAUUCAGAUGGGAAUAUCUGAAAUCCUUAGCCUUGUACUCAAUUUCUUUUCACAAUACUACUUGUCAGUUGUUUUCAUUCUAUUCCCAGACUCUUGAGGCCAAGUAUCUGGGGGUAAAAAAAAUGAUCAAAAUCUAUAAUCACAAAACCAAGAUUCUUAGAAAUUACAAAGCCUUGUCACCCAACUCGUUGCAGAAAAUUAUUUUAUAAAUUCGAAAACGGCAUUCAGCCUUUUACUCAAAGAGUCAGUUCUGAUUGGAUUUCCAAUCGGGCACUCCCAAGCAGUGCCCGGGAAUUUUCUUUUUAAUAGAGGAUUCUUUUUAUUUAUUUUCAUAGGUGCGUCGGUGUUUUUCCUAGAUGUAUGUCUGUAUGUGAGGGUGUCAAAAAUCACCUGGAACUGGAGUUAAAGACAGUUGUGAGCUGCCUUGUGAGUGCUGGGAAAUUGAACCCACCUCCUCUGGGAGAGCAAUCAGUGCUUUUAGCCGCUAAACCAUCUCUCUAACCCCGCCUGGGAAUCUUAAAACGACCGGAAAAGAAUUCGAAUUUGUUAACUUGCAAGGAAAUAAAGCCUUUCUUUCUUUCUUUCUUUUUUUUUUUUUUUUUUUUUUUUUUUUUUUUUUUUUUGUGACAGGGUUUCUCUGUGUAACCCUGGCUGUCCUGGAACUCACUCUGUAGCCCUGGCUAUCCUCGAACUCAGAAAUCCGCCUGCCUCCGCCUCCCAAGUGGUGGGAUUAAAGGCGUGUGCCACCACUGGCCGGCUCAAGCCGUCUUCCUAACUC
Mus musculus (house mouse) is the source of this 3514-nucleotide RNA transcript. It is a transcript of the gene named RCC1 domain containing 1, with no coding region annotated. The record is from RefSeq and is marked validated. Lineage: Eukaryota; Metazoa; Chordata; Mammalia; Rodentia; Muridae. The transcript is spliced from 12 exons.